UGGCUCAGGAUGAACGCUAGCGGCAGGCUUAACACAUGCAAGUCGAGGGGCAUCGGGAGUAGCAAUACUGCCGGCGACCGGCGCAAGGGUGCGUAACGCGUGAGCAACAUGCCCGUAUCAGGGGGAUAAUCCAUGGAAACGUGGUCUAAUACCCCAUAGUAAUUAUGUAAGGCAUCUUAUAUAAUUUAAAGCUUUGGUGGAUACGGAUUGGCUCGCGUGACAUUAGCUAGAUGGUAAGGUAACGGCUUACCAUGGCUACGAUGUCUAGGGGUUCUGAGAGGAAGGUCCCCCACACUGGAACUGAGACACGGUCCAGACUCCUACGGGAGGCAGCAGUGAGGAAUAUUGGACAAUGGAUGGAAAUCUGAUCCAGCCAUGCCGCGUGCAAGGAAGACGGCCCUAUGGGUUGUAAACUGCUUUUGUAUGGGAGCAAUAAGGGCUACGCGUAGUCCGAUGAGAGUACCAUACGAAUAAGCACCGGCUAACUCCGUGCCAGCCGCCGC
RNAcentral lists this ribosomal RNA (503 nucleotides) under uncultured bacterium. Its description in RNAcentral is "bacterial SSU rRNA". It matches the Rfam family "Bacterial small subunit ribosomal RNA", at positions 20 to 518 of the family's 1533-position model. The record is from RNAcentral.